This 327-nucleotide ribosomal RNA is filed under the name uncultured eukaryote. RNAcentral's name for it is "partial 18S ribosomal RNA". It matches the Rfam family "Eukaryotic small subunit ribosomal RNA", at positions 1470 to 1796 of the family's 1831-position model. The record is from RNAcentral.
CCCUUAGAUGUUCUGGGCCGCACGCGCGCUACACUGAUUCAUGCAACAAGUUUUGUCCUUGGCUGAUAGGCCUGGGUAAUCUUUGAACGUGAAUCGUGAUGGGGAUAGAUGAUUGCAAUUAUUCAUCUUCAACGAGGAAUUCCUAGUAAACGCAAGUCAUCAGCUUUCAUUGAUUACGUCCCUGCCCUUUGUACACACCGCCCGUCGCACCUACCGAUUGAAUGGUCCGGUGAAAUCUUCGGAUCUGAGAGAUGUCUGAUUAAUUUCGGACGCCUUUUGGAAAAGUUGUUUAAACCUUACCAUUUAGAGGAAGGUGAAGUCGUAACA